CUUAUCUUAGCGGCGGACGGGUGAGUAAUGCUUAGGAAUCUGCCUAUUAGUGGGGGACAACAUUCCGAAAGGAAUGCUAAUACCGCAUACGUCCUACGGGAGAAAGCAGGGGAUCUUCGGACCUUGCGCUAAUAGAUGAGCCUAAGUCGGAUUAGCUAGUUGGUGGGGUAAAGGCCUACCAAGGCGACGAUCUGUAGCGGGUCUGAGAGGAUGAUCCGCCACACUGGGACUGAGACACGGCCCAGACUCCUACGGGAGGCAGCAGUGGGGAAUAUUGGACAAUGGGGGGAACCCUGAUCCAGCCAUGCCGCGUGUGUGAAGAAGGCCUUAUGGUUGUAAAGCACUUUAAGCGAGGAGGAGGCUACUGAGACUAAUACUCUUGGAUAGUGGACGUUACUCGCAGAAUAAGCACCGGCUAACUCUGUGCCAGCAGCCGCGGUAAUACAGAGGGUGCGAGCGUUAAUCGGAUUUACUGGGCGUAAAGCGUGCGUAGGCGGCUUUUUAAGUCGGAUGUGAAAUCCCCGAGCUUAACUUGGGAAUUGCAUUCGAUACUGGGAAGCUAGAGUAUGGGAGAGGAUGGUAGAAUUUCAGGUGUAGCGGUGAAAUGCGUAGAGAUCUGGAGGAAUACCGAUGGCGAAGGCAGCCAUCUGGCCUAAUACUGACGCUGAGGUACGAAAGCAUGGGGAGCAAACAGGAUUAGAUACCCUGGUAGUCCAUGCCGUAAACGAUGUCUACUAGCCGUUGGGGCCUUUGAGGCUUUAGUGGCGCAGCUAACGCGAUAAGUAGACCGCCUGGGGAGUACGGUCGCAAGACUAAAACUCAAUGAUUGACGGGGGCCCGCACAAGCGGUGGAGCAUGUGAUUAAUUCGAUGC
RNAcentral lists this ribosomal RNA (873 nucleotides) under uncultured bacterium. RNAcentral's name for it is "bacterial SSU rRNA". It matches the Rfam family "Bacterial small subunit ribosomal RNA", at positions 86 to 957 of the family's 1533-position model. The record is from RNAcentral.